Molecule: long non-coding RNA, 212 nt
Organism: Podarcis raffonei (Aeolian wall lizard)
Lineage: Eukaryota; Metazoa; Chordata; Lepidosauria; Squamata; Lacertidae
Exons: 2
Source: RefSeq, a predicted model, not a curated record
CGCGCCGGGAGCCCGGAGCUGGCGGCCUGCAAAGAGGCGCCGCCUCGGCGUGGCGCGGCCGAGUCACCUGGGCGACCGAGGGAAGCUGCGGCUGAGAAGGGCCGGGUGUCCGCCGGGGAGAAGGCUGCUCAGUUCCUCUAAGGAAAAUAUUCCGUCGCUCAAGUUGCUGCCUUGUAGCCAAGCCAUUGUUCUCCAACAAGAAUGAACUCCAA